This is a long non-coding RNA of Zingiber officinale, 153 nucleotides long. RefSeq lists it as uncharacterized. The record is from RefSeq and is a predicted model, not a curated record. The transcript is spliced from 3 exons. NCBI's taxonomy places the organism in Eukaryota, Viridiplantae, Streptophyta, Magnoliopsida, Zingiberales, Zingiberaceae.
UUACACCUCCUCGGCAGUGUAUUCCCGGCUUCGAUUCAUUAGCCCUGUAGAGGCUCUAUGGUUGAUCUGUGGCAGUAGACAGUGCCACUGUACGGUGCCAGCAAUAUCUUCGGGCAGUGGGUCAUCCAAGGUAGUCGAUAGAUGAUACCAGUA